This 206-nucleotide long non-coding RNA is filed under the name Linum usitatissimum (flax). RNAcentral describes it as "long non-coding RNA (LUSI_LNC006515)". Lineage: Eukaryota; Viridiplantae; Streptophyta; Magnoliopsida; Malpighiales; Linaceae. The record is from RNAcentral.
ACCACUUAUUCUUACAAGGGGAAAAAAGAACUCGACUCCAGGACUAGGAGCCCUAGUCUGGAUAGAAAUGUGGGAUAACUUGGGAUUUGCUGAUCCGAAAACCAGCCACGAAGAAAAAUAAAAUUCCCCCCAGCAAAGCCAGUGCCAAACCAACUGAAAAUAUUUUCAAUCUGAGAUAAAAACAAUCAUAACACGGAUUGAAAAAA